This 469-nucleotide ribosomal RNA is filed under the name uncultured bacterium. RNAcentral describes it as "partial 16S ribosomal RNA". It matches the Rfam family "Bacterial small subunit ribosomal RNA", at positions 28 to 507 of the family's 1533-position model. The record is from RNAcentral.
GACGAACGCUGGCGGCGUGCUUAACACAUGCAAGUCGAACGGAAAGGCCCUGCUUGCAGGGUGCUCGAGUGGCGAACGGGUGAGUAACACGUGGGUGAUCUGCCCCUUACUUUGGGAUAAGCCUGGGAAACUGGGUCUAAUACUGGAUAGGACCAUGCUGUAGGUGGUGUGGUGGAAAGAUUAGUUUCGGUAAGGGAUGAGCUCGCGGCCUAUCAGCUUGUUGGUGGGGUAAUGGCCUACCAAGGCGUCGACGGGUAGCCGGCCUGAGAGGGUGGACGGCCACAUUGGGACUGAGAUACGGCCCAGACUCCUACGGGAGGCAGCAGUGGGGAAUAUUGCACAAUGGGCGCAAGCCUGAUGCAGCGACGCCGCGUGGGGGAUGACGGCCUUCGGGUUGUAAACUCCUUUCUGCCAUGACGAAGCCCUUGUGGUGACGGUAGUGGUAGAAGAAGCACCGGCUAACUACGUG